GACGAACGCUGGCGGCGUGCCUAAUACAUGCAAGUAGAACGCUGAAGAGAGGAGCUUGCUCUUCUUGGAUGAGUUGCGAACGGGUGAGUAACGCGUAGGUAACCUGCCUGGUAGCGGGGGAUAACUAUUGGAAACGAUAGCUAAUACCGCAUAAAAUGGAUUAUCGCAUGAUAAUCCAUUGAAAGGUGCAAAUGCAUCACUACCAGAUGGACCUGCGUUGUAUUAGCUAGUUGGUGGGGUAACGGCUCACCAAGGCGACGAUACAUAGCCGACCUGAGAGGGUGAUCGGCCACACUGGGACUGAGACACGGCCCAGACUCCUACGGGAGGCAGCAGUAGGGAAUCUUCGGCAAUAGACGGAAGUCUGACCGAGCAACGCCGCGUGAGUGAAGAAGGUUUUCGGAUCGUAAAGCUCGGUUGUAAGAGAAGAACGAGUGUGAGAGUGGAAAGUUCACACUGUGACGGUAUCUUACCAGAAAGGGACGGCUAACUACGUG
RNAcentral lists this ribosomal RNA (497 nucleotides) under uncultured bacterium. RNAcentral's name for it is "partial 16S ribosomal RNA". It matches the Rfam family "Bacterial small subunit ribosomal RNA", at positions 28 to 507 of the family's 1533-position model. The record is from RNAcentral.